Phascolarctos cinereus (koala) is the source of this 332-nucleotide non-coding RNA. The record is from RefSeq and is a predicted model, not a curated record. NCBI's taxonomy places the organism in Eukaryota, Metazoa, Chordata, Mammalia, Diprotodontia, Phascolarctidae.
UUGGGUUUAUAAAGGCAGAAGCCACAGAGUAAACUGUCAGGGAUCACAUAAGUGAGAAGUUACAGAAGCCAAACAAGCAAUUGGUUAAUCCUGCUUUUGGGACCAGAUAAGGAUCAUGAAAUAGAUUGGGCGGAUAUCCUUCCUGGCAGGUUUUCUAAGGCAGGAACUCCAAAGGCGGGAACUUCUAAGGUGGGAACUCCUACUUCCGUGAAGGAGGGCAUACAAGAUGGAGGUCAGAAACCAAAAUGGAGUUCUGUACAUGGAUUCAUUCUGUGUUCCAGCCACGUUGGAAGACAAACUGUAAUAGAGAAGACUUUUGCUAAGAGGAAGAA